GACUGACAGACUAACAGAGAAAACUCCAUAUGUAUCAAACACCUGGGCUACAUGUUCUGUGUUACUGAUAUCUGAGAUACAAAAGUUGUAAAACAUAUGCAGGGGAGUCAGUCCUGAUUUCUCUUUCCAUUACCAGGUAGCAACACAGAUCAAGAAACUAAUCAGAUCAGCAUUCACUGUGUGAUUAUCAGAGGAAUAAUACUUUUUAAUAUAAGUGAAUUUAAAAGAAUAUAAUGCUCAUUUUUAAAAGAACACAAUGUAAUAUCACCAGUGACACAAAGACCCAUCUGUUAGGCUAUACAGGGGGCUCAGUGGAUCAUAAAAAGGCCAAAAGGAAGUUUUACAUAAACACAGACAUAGACACAGAUACAGACACAUACAUAUAGCUACAGAUACAGAUGGACAAAACCAAAGAAAUUUCCCAGAUAAAGCAAUCAAGUAAAACUCCUUGGCAUAGAGUGAAGGCUGAACACAGUGCUGAUCCCUCCUUCUCAACAAGGAUGUAUUAGAAAGGGAAAAAAUUCGCAGAAGAGUGUGAAAAAUGACCAGUUGGAUGGAAUGGAUUCCUUAAACUGAACUUCAAAAUUAUGGCUGUUCAUUCUGGAAAAUGGGCGGCUGGAGAGACUAUGACAUACAUCUACAAAGUGUAGAAUGAAAAUGUGGAGAGUGUCAGGAUCACUGAGAGAAGCUGAGGAAAGCUGUGGCUGUUAAAGCUGAGAUGGAUACAAAUGAAGGUUGGACCAGUUCAUAAGAGAAAUCCUCUGAAAGUUACUGAUUGCAUAAGCCACCUCAUUCUCAUGCAAUCUGUGAGUACAAAUUGCUGAAAAUUAAAGGAAUAUUCAAUGGA
Molecule: long non-coding RNA, 847 nt
Organism: Pipra filicauda (Wire-tailed manakin)
Lineage: Eukaryota; Metazoa; Chordata; Aves; Passeriformes; Pipridae
Exons: 5
Source: RefSeq, a predicted model, not a curated record